This 72-nucleotide transfer RNA is filed under the name Camelus bactrianus (Bactrian camel). It matches the Rfam family "tRNA". From Rfam's summary of the family: Transfer RNA (tRNA) molecules are approximately 80 nucleotides in length. Their secondary structure includes four short double-helical elements and three loops (D, anti-codon, and T loops). The record is from Rfam by way of RNAcentral. Lineage: Eukaryota; Metazoa; Chordata; Mammalia; Artiodactyla; Camelidae. RNAcentral also lists the same sequence under 2 other names.
GAGGGUACAGCUCAGUGGUAAAGCACAUGCUUGGCAUGCACAAGAUCCUGGGUUAAAUUCUCAGUACCUCCA